RNAcentral lists this ribosomal RNA (28 nucleotides) under Pseudomonas aeruginosa. RNAcentral describes it as "partial 23S ribosomal RNA". Lineage: Bacteria; Pseudomonadati; Pseudomonadota; Gammaproteobacteria; Pseudomonadales; Pseudomonadaceae. The record is from RNAcentral.
AAGUGAAGAAGCGCAUACAGUGGAUGCC